GUCCUGGAGGACUAGUGGUUAGGCCACAGCGCUCUCACCACUGUGGCCUGGGUUCGAUUCCUGGCCAGGGAA
Molecule: transfer RNA, 72 nt
Filed under: Pangasius djambal
Lineage: Eukaryota; Metazoa; Chordata; Actinopteri; Siluriformes; Pangasiidae
Description: tRNA-Glu
Rfam family: tRNA
About the family: Transfer RNA (tRNA) molecules are approximately 80 nucleotides in length. Their secondary structure includes four short double-helical elements and three loops (D, anti-codon, and T loops).
Source: RNAcentral